Non-coding RNA from Oryza glumipatula, 201 nucleotides. The record is from Rfam. Lineage: Eukaryota; Viridiplantae; Streptophyta; Magnoliopsida; Poales; Poaceae.
UUUAAGUGUAACCAUAAAUUUUUUGUGUCUAAUUUUGAUCAUCUGUUUUAUUUGAAAUUUUUUUAUCAUUAGUACUUUUAUUGUUAUGAGAUGAUAAAAUAUGAAUAAUACUUUACUCGUGACUUAUAUUUUUAAUUUAAAAUUUUUUAAAUAAGAUGUAAGAUUAAAAUUGGGCACGAAAAAAACAUGGCUGUACUUGAA